Molecule: ribosomal RNA, 342 nt
Filed under: Triticum aestivum (bread wheat)
Lineage: Eukaryota; Viridiplantae; Streptophyta; Magnoliopsida; Poales; Poaceae
Description: partial small subunit ribosomal RNA
Source: RNAcentral
AUGGGAUUAAGGAUGAUGAUGACCUCGGAGAUGGAGAGGGUGAGGUCGCGGGUGAUGGCGUCCUGGGUCGGCGAGGAGAAGCCGCCGGUGAAGCCGAACUGGAUGGGGCCGAGCGCCACGGCGAGCGUGCAGAGCAAGGCGGAGACGUGGGACUUGCGUAUCGCGUACCACCAGCUCCCCGUGCUCACCAGCAGCGGCUUCCGCAUGUCGUCGUCGUGGUCGCUCCCGCCGCUCUCCUGCCCUCCGCCGUCUCCGCCCUUGCCGUUCAUGGCGGCCUCGCCAAUGGACGAAAGAGGAGAAGAAGAAGAAGAAGAAGAAGAGGAGGUCGACUAUGAAGUUUGA